This is a non-coding RNA of Camelina sativa (false flax), 1012 nucleotides long. Lineage: Eukaryota; Viridiplantae; Streptophyta; Magnoliopsida; Brassicales; Brassicaceae. The record is from RefSeq and is a predicted model, not a curated record.
ACCGGUCGAAUAUUUCUUUCUCUCUUUCAUCUCUCUGUCUCUCUCUUUCUCUCUCGAUCGAAGACCAAAAUUGACAAAGGAUUGAGAUGGAUUUGAUUUUGGAGUCGAUUGAUUCGGAUGAGAUUGAAGCAAUUGGAAUCGGAAGCCUUUUGAAAUUCAGAAUGAGCAUCAGGAGCAGGCAAAAGCUAUCUUAGAAGAUAUCAAUGUAGAUGCCAAGCUGCUGAACCCUAUUCCAAAUAAACGAGAACGAAGACCGGUAUUAGACCCCCGUCAGCGGAAAAGCUUUUCUCUUGACCUUCCGACAAGUCAACCACUUCCAGCUCUACCAAGCUUUGGUGGUAGUAAAAUUCCAAGACCUGAAGAGUACUUUGCUGAAUAUGAUAAAUAUGAUAAGUACUUUUCAUACUCAAUUAUUUGUCUUUUCUAAAUUCUGUAGUGCCUAUUUUUCUGAGAUGUGACUCUUCCUUCAAGCAUUCUCUUCUCAUUAUUCUCAGAUCACACUCAACCUUCUUUUACAUAUUUUCUUUUGCCUGAACUUGUAUCUCUCUUCCUUGCAGAUUUUGAUGACAUCGAUGAUGAAGACAUCGAGACUGAUUUUUCGUCUUGGACAACUCACAUGUUACGUGGGACUUGGCUAUCGAGUAAUCAUGACAUAUGGUGGCGGAAAUGAAGGAGCUGCUGGUGGUGAUAGUGGAGGAGCUAAUGCCAACUCUUCCGAUCCACCUGCUAAACGGAACAGGGGACGUCCUCCUGGCUCCGGUAAGAAGCAGCUCGAUGCUUUAGGUACAGCUCGAUGCUUUAGGAGGAACAGGAGGAGUUGGGUUUACACCUCAUGUCAUUGAAGUUAAAACUGGAGAGGGCAUAGCUAUGAAGGUAAUGGCGUUUACGGGGCCACGCACCAUCUGUAUUCUCUCAGCUACAGGAUCUGUUUUCUAUGUUUAAUAUUUUAUCAAAAUGCAAUAAUUUUAUAAACAUCAUUCUUAAUAUUCAAUAAUUUCAUAUUGUACUUUAA